GGUUAAGCGACUAAGCGUACACGGUGGAUGCCCUGGCAGUCAGAGGCGAUGAAGGACGUGCUAAUCUGCGAUAAGCGUCGGUAAGGUGAUAUGAACCGUUAUAACCGGCGAUUUCCGAAUGGGGAAACCCAGUGUGAUUCGUCACACUAUCAUUAACUGAAUCCAUAGGUUAAUGAGGCGAACCGGGGGAACUGAAACAUCUAAGUACCCCGAGGAAAAGAAAUCAACCGAGAUUCCCCCAGUAGCGGCGAGCGAACGGGGAGCAGCCCAGAGCCUGAAUCAGUGUGUGUGUUAGUGGAAGCGUCUGGAAAGGCGCGCGAUACAGGGUGACAGCCCCGUACACAAAAAUGCACAUACUGUGAGCUCGAUGAGUAGGGCGGGACACGUGGUAUCCUGUCUGAAUAUGGGGGGACCAUCCUCCAAGGCUAAAUACUCCUGACUGACCGAUAGUGAACCAGUACCGUGAGGGAAAGGCGAAAAGAACCCCGGCGAGGGGAGUGAAAAAGAACCUGAAACCGUGUACGUACAAGCAGUGGGAGCACAGAGCAAUCUGUGUGACUGCGUACCUUUUGUAUAAUGGGUCAGCGACUUAUAUUCUGUAGCAAGGUUAACCGAAUAGGGGAGCCGAAGGGAAACCGAGUCUUAACUGGGCGUUAAGUUGCAGGGUAUAGACCCGAAACCCGGUGAUCUAGCCAUGGGCAGGUUGAAGGUUGGGUAACACUAACUGGAGGACCGAACCGACUAAUGUUGAAAAAUUAGCGGAUGACUUGUGGCUGGGGGUGAAAGGCCAAUCAAACCGGGAGAUAGCUGGUUCUCCCCGAAAGCUAUUUAGGUAGCGCCUCGUGAAUUCAUCUCCGGGGGUAGAGCACUGUUUCGGCAAGGGGGUCAUCCCGACUUACCAACCCGAUGCAAACUGCGAAUACCGGAGAAUGUUAUCACGGGAGACACACGGCGGGUGCUAACGUCCGUCGUGAAGAGGGAAACAACCCAGACCGCCAGCUAAGGUCCCAAAGUCAUGGUUAAGUGGGAAACGAUGUGGGAAGGCCCAGACAGCCAGGAUGUUGGCUUAGAAGCAGCCAUCAUUUAAAGAAAGCGUAAUAGCUCACUGGUCGAGUCGGCCUGCGCGGAAGAUGUAACGGGGCUAAACCAUGCACCGAAGCUGCGGCAGCGACGCUGAUGCGUUGUUGGGUAGGGGAGCGUUCUGUAAGCCUGUGAAGGUGUGCUGUGAGGCAUGCUGGAGGUAUCAGAAGUGCGAAUGCUGACAUAAGUAACGAUAAAGCGGGUGAAAAGCCCGCUCGCCGGAAGACCAAGGGUUCCUGUCCAACGUUAAUCGGGGCAGGGUGAGUCGACCCCUAAGGCGAGGCCGAAAGGCGUAGUCGAUGGGAAACAGGUUAAUAUUCCUGUACUUGGUGUUACUGCGAAGGGGGGACGGAGAAGGCUAUGUUGGCCGGGCGACGGUUGUCCCGGUUUAAGCGUGUAGGCUGGUUUUCCAGGCAAAUCCGGAAAAUCAAGGCUGAGGCGUGAUGACGAGGCACUACGGUGCUGAAGCAACAAAUGCCCUGCUUCCAGGAAAAGCCUCUAAGCAUCAGGUAACAUCAAAUCGUACCCCAAACCGACACAGGUGGUCAGGUAGAGAAUACCAAGGCGCUUGAGAGAACUCGGGUGAAGGAACUAGGCAAAAUGGUGCCGUAACUUCGGGAGAAGGCACGCUGAUAUGUAGGUGAAGUCCCUCGCGGAUGGAGCUGAAAUCAGUCGAAGAUACCAGCUGGCUGCAACUGUUUAUUAAAAACACAGCACUGUGCAAACACGAAAGUGGACGUAUACGGUGUGACGCCUGCCCGGUGCCGGAAGGUUAAUUGAUGGGGUUAGCGCAAGCGAAGCUCUUGAUCGAAGCCCCGGUAAACGGCGGCCGUAACUAUAACGGUCCUAAGGUAGCGAAAUUCCUUGUCGGGUAAGUUCCGACCUGCACGAAUGGCGUAAUGAUGGCCAGGCUGUCUCCACCCGAGACUCAGUGAAAUUGAACUCGCUGUGAAGAUGCAGUGUACCCGCGGCAAGACGGAAAGACCCCGUGAACCUUUACUAUAGCUUGACACUGAACAUUGAGCCUUGAUGUGUAGGAUAGGUGGGAGGCUUUGAAGUGUGGACGCCAGUCUGCAUGGAGCCGACCUUGAAAUACCACCCUUUAAUGUUUGAUGUUCUAACGUUGACCCGUGAUCCGGGUUGCGGACAGUGUCUGGUGGGUAGUUUGACUGGGGCGGUCUCCUCCUAAAGAGUAACGGAGGAGCACGAAGGUUGGCUAAUCCUGGUCGGACAUCAGGAGGUUAGUGCAAUGGCAUAAGCCAGCUUGACUGCGAGCGUGACGGCGCGAGCAGGUGCGAAAGCAGGUCAUAGUGAUCCGGUGGUUCUGAAUGGAAGGGCCAUCGCUCAACGGAUAAAAGGUACUCCGGGGAUAACAGGCUGAUACCGCCCAAGAGUUCAUAUCGACGGCGGUGUUUGGCACCUCGAUGUCGGCUCAUCACAUCCUGGGGCUGAAGUAGGUCCCAAGGGUAUGGCUGUUCGCCAUUUAAAGUGGUACGCGAGCUGGGUUUAGAACGUCGUGAGACAGUUCGGUCCCUAUCUGCCGUGGGCGCUGGAGAACUGAGGGGGGCUGCUCCUAGUACGAGAGGACCGGAGUGGACGCAUCACUGGUGUUCGGGUUGUCAUGCCAAUGGCACUGCCCGGUAGCUAAAUGCGGAAGAGAUAAGUGCUGAAAGCAUCUAAGCACGAAACUUGCCCCGAGAUGAGUUCUCCCUGACCCUUUAAGGGUCCUGAAGGAACGUUGAAGACGACGACGUUGAUAGGCCGGGUGUGUAAGCGCAGCGAUGCGUUGAGCUAACCGGUACUAAUGAACCGUGAGGCUUAACCUU
This 2906-nucleotide ribosomal RNA is filed under the name Escherichia coli. RNAcentral describes it as "23S ribosomal RNA". It matches the Rfam family "Bacterial large subunit ribosomal RNA". The record is from RNAcentral. Lineage: Bacteria; Pseudomonadati; Pseudomonadota; Gammaproteobacteria; Enterobacterales; Enterobacteriaceae.